UCAAGCGAAUAAGUGCAUGUGGUGGAUGCCUUGGCGAUCACAGGCGAUGAAGGACGUAGUAGCUUGCGAAAAGCUGCGGGGAGCUGGCAAACGAGCUUUGAUCCGCAGAUGUCCGAAUGGGGAAACCCGGCCCGUAUGGGUCAUCCCUUGCUGAAUACAUAGGCAAGGGAGGCGAACGCAGUGAACUGAAACAUCUAAGUAGCUGCAGGAAAAGAAAUCAACCGAGAUUCCCAAAGUAGUGGCGAGCGAAAUGGGAACAGCCUUGUACUCUUUAGCAGUAUUGUUAGCGGAACGGAAUGGAAAGUCCGGCCAUAGUGGGUGAUAGCCCCGUACGCGAAAACAGUAUUGUGGAACUAGGUGUACGACAAGUAGGGCGGGACACGUGAAAUCCUGUCUGAAGAUGGGGGGACCAUCCUCCAAGGCUAAAUACUCGUGAUCGACCGAUAGUGAACCAGUACCGUGAGGGAAAGGCGAAAAGAACCCCGGGAGGGGAGUGAAAUAGAUCCUGAAACCGCAUGCAUACAAACAGUCGGAGCCUGGAAACGGGUGACGGCGUACCUUUUGUAUAAUGGGUCAGCGACUUACAUUCAGUGGCAAGCUUAACCGAUUAGGGAAGGCGUAGCGAAAGCGAGUCCGAAUAGGGCGUUCAGUCGCUGGGUGUAGACCCGAAACCAAGUGAUCUAUCCAUGGCCAGGUUGAAGGUGCGGUAACACGUACUGGAGGACCGAACCCACUAACGUUGAAAAGUUAGGGGAUGAGCUGUGGAUAGGGGUGAAAGGCUAAACAAACUUGGAAAUAGCUGGUUCUCUCCGAAAACUAUUUAGGUAGUGCCUCGUGUCUCACCUUCGGGGGUAGAGCACUGUCAUGGUUGGGGGGUCUAUUGCUGAUUACCCCGCCAUAGCAAACUCCGAAUACCGAAGAGUGCAAUCACGGGAGACAGACAUCGGGUGCUAACGUCCGGUGUCAAGAGGGAAACAACCCAGACCGCCAGCUAAGGUCCCUAAGAUUGGCUAAGUGGGAAACGAAGUGGGAAGGCUAAAACAGUCAGGAGGUUGGCUUAGAAGCAGCCACCCUUUAAAGAAAGCGUAAUAGCUCACUGAUCGAGUCGUCCUGCGCGGAAGAUGUAACGGGGCUAAGCCAGUCACCGAAGCUGCGGAUGCACGUAAGUGCAUGGUAGGAGAGCGUUCUGUAAGCCUGUGAAGGUGUCUUGUAAAGGAUGCUGGAGGUAUCAGAAGUGCGAAUGCUGACAUGAGUAGCGAUAAAGGGGGUGAAAGGCCCCCUCGCCGUAAGCCCAAGGUUUCCUACGCAACGUUCAUCGGCGUAGGGUGAGUCGGCCCCUAAGGCGAGGCAGAGAUGCGUAGCUGAUGGGAAGCAGGUUAAUAUUCCUGCACCGUCGUAUGAUGCGAUGGGGGGACGGAUCGCGGAAGGUUGUCCGGGUGUUGGAAGUCCCGGUCCCUACAUUGGAGAUGGCACUUAGGCAAAUCCGGGUGCGUGAUUCAAGGGUGUGGGGCGAGCGACGUUAGGUCGCGAAGCAAUUGGAAGUGGUUCCAAGAAAAGCCUCUAAGCUUCAGUCAUACGAGACCGUACCGCAAACCGACACAGGUGGGCGAGAUGAGUAUUCUAAGGCGCUUGAGAGAACUCGGGAGAAGGAACUCGGCAAAUUGGUACCGUAACUUCGGGAUAAGGUACGCCCUUGUAGUUUGACUGGCUCGCGCCAGAAGGAUGAAGGGGUUGCAAUAAAAUGGUGGCUGCGACUGUUUAAUAAAAACACAGCACUCUGCAAACACGAAAGUGGACGUAUAGGGUGUGACGCCUGCCCGGUGCCGGAAGAUUAAAUGAUGGGGUGCAAGCUCUUGAUUGAAGUCCCGGUAAACGGCGGCCGUAACUAUAACGGUCCUAAGGUAGCGAAAUUCCUUGUCGGGUAAGUUCCGACCUGCACGAAUGGCGUAACGAUGGCCACACUGUCUCCUCCCGAGACUCAGCGAAGUUGAAGUGUUUGUGAUGAUGCAAUCUCCCCGCGGCUAGACGGAAAGACCCCAUGAACCUUUACUGUAGCUUUGCAUUGGACUUUGAACCGAUCUGUGUAGGAUAGGUGGGAGGCUUUGAAACCGGGACGCUAGUUUCGGUGGAGCCGACCUUGAAAUACCACCCUGGUUUGUUUGAGGUUCUAACCUUGGCCCGUGAAUCCGGGUCGGGGACAGUGCAUGGUAGGCAGUUUGACUGGGGCGGUCUCCUCCCAAAGUGUAACGGAGGAGUUCGAAGGUACGCUUGGUACGGUCGGACAUCGUACCUAAAGUGCAAUGGCAAAAGCGUGCUUAACUGCGAGACCGACAAGUCGAGCAGGUGCGAAAGCAGGACAUAGUGAUCCGGUGGUUCUGUAUGGAAGGGCCAUCGCUCAACGGAUAAAAGGUACUCUGGGGAUAACAGGCUGAUACCGCCCAAGAGUUCAUAUCGACGGCGGUGUUUGGCACCUCGAUGUCGGCUCAUCUCAUCCUGGGGCUGUAGCCGGUCCCAAGGGUAUGGCUGUUCGCCAUUUAAAGAGGUACGUGAGCUGGGUUUAAAACGUCGUGAGACAGUUUGGUCCCUAUCUGCCGUGGGCGUUGGAAUCUUGACGGGGGCUGCUCCUAGUACGAGAGGACCGGAGUGGACGUACCGCUGGUGUACCUGUUGUCUCGCCAGAGGCAUCGCAGGGUAGCUAUGUACGGAAGAGAUAACCGCUGAAAGCAUCUAAGCGGGAAACUCGCCUGAAGAUGAGGAUUCCCUGGAGACUUGAUCUCCCUGAAGGGUCGUUCGAGACCAGGACGUUGAUAGGCUGGGUGUGGAAGCGCAGUAAUGCGUUCAGCUAACCAGUACUAAUUGCCCGUGCGGCUUGAUCCU
Molecule: ribosomal RNA, 2877 nt
Filed under: Ralstonia solanacearum
Lineage: Bacteria; Pseudomonadati; Pseudomonadota; Betaproteobacteria; Burkholderiales; Burkholderiaceae
Also listed under: 2 other names
Description: bacterial LSU rRNA
Rfam family: Bacterial large subunit ribosomal RNA
Source: RNAcentral